This 424-nucleotide ribosomal RNA is filed under the name Verrucomicrobiota bacterium. Its description in RNAcentral is "Verrucomicrobia bacterium partial 16S ribosomal RNA". It matches the Rfam family "Bacterial small subunit ribosomal RNA", at positions 355 to 776 of the family's 1533-position model. The record is from RNAcentral. Lineage: Bacteria; Pseudomonadati; Verrucomicrobiota.
UGAGGAAUAUUGGUCAAUGGACGCAAGUCUGAACCAGCCAAGUAGCGUGCAGGAUGACGGCCCUAUGGGUUGUAAACUGCUUUUAUAUGGGGAUAAAGUGGGGAACGUGUUCCCUUUUGCAGGUACCAUAUGAAUAAGGACCGGCUAAUUCCGUGCCAGCAGCCGCGGUAAUACGGAAGGUUCGGGCGUUAUUCGGAUUUAUUGGGGUUAAAGGGAGCGUAGGCCGUUUGGUAAGCGUGUUGUGAAAUGUAGGAGCUCAACUUCUAGAUUGCAGCGCGAACUGUCAGACUUGAGUGCGCACAACGUAGGCGGAAUUCAUGGUGUAGCGGUGAAAUGCUUAGAUAUCAUGAAGAACUCCGAUUGCGAAGGCAGCUUACGGGAGCGCAACUGACGCUGAAGCUCGAAGGUGCGGGUAUCGAACAGG